UACCAAAUGCUGAGGCUGAUUUCAUAGAUUGCCUUCUUUGAGCUGUCGCAAGUCAGGGCAGUUUUAUUACUGAGCCUUUAUGACUGAACCUAAAGACAUUCUAAUCUAACAAAUUAACAUAUCAGGAAGGUUAUUGUCACAUCAUGCAAGUAGCAGAACCCAGCUACAGAAAAUAGAGGAGUUAUUCCUCUUUCAUCCUUUAUUUUCUGUCCCAAUUACUGUACUUUUAGUGAAAUUCAUCCUUUUUACUUUAUUUUAAUGUUUUCUCUUACAGGCAAAAUAAACACACGUAUAUAUGAUUAGCAAGUUGAACAAAACCUGUUCUUAAUGGUGAAAAGCAUGAUGAAAAAAGUUGUUUUCUCCUUUGCUCAGAGGCCACUGUGAGGCACCAUGGCCUCCUUCCCUCUGCCAGGCAGAGGAUUUUCAUGUCAUCAACACCGCUGUUGUUAGACACUGGCACGCUGUAUCAGUAUUUAAUAGGAUUUGACUGAACAUGGCUAUCUAUUGAUUCAGCAGAUACUAAGAGUGUGCUGUUUCUCUUUAUAGCUUAUGUGAAGCAGGGAGAAAUGUCUGAAGGAGAAGGUGGAGAAGAAUGUACUGGUUUAUGUAAUCCCUCUUACUGGAGCAGCAGUUUGUGCGGUGUGUGUGAUCUAAAGGCUAUCUCAGGGUGAGAGGAGAGCUGACGCGGGGGGGAUUUUCUGCAGGGCCAGGGAAAUUGCUCUGCUGUCUUUUUCAGUACCCAUGCGGAAGACCCAGAUGCAGGGGAUGUAUCCAGCACUGUGCAGAAAUGUAUCAGCAACUGAACUGAGGCAAAUAGUUUUCAAGCCAUCUUGUUCCAGCAAGAUCUGGUGGUAAAAGUUAUCCCCAGUGAGGAAGUACCUGGCCCGGAGUGUAAAUCCUUUUCAGGGGUGCAGAGUCAGCAUCAGUAACUGACAGCAAAGUUACAGCCAACAGCCAUGCCAGGUGCUCCUU
Molecule: long non-coding RNA, 972 nt
Filed under: Chrysolophus pictus (golden pheasant)
Lineage: Eukaryota; Metazoa; Chordata; Aves; Galliformes; Phasianidae
Description: lncRNA (ENSCPIG00010009367.1)
Source: RNAcentral